This 478-nucleotide ribosomal RNA is filed under the name uncultured bacterium. RNAcentral describes it as "partial 16S ribosomal RNA". It matches the Rfam family "Bacterial small subunit ribosomal RNA", at positions 28 to 507 of the family's 1533-position model. The record is from RNAcentral.
GACGAACGCUGGCGGCGUGCUUAACACAUGCAAGUCGAACGGGAUUUCGUAGACAGAAGCCUCGGCUCAAGAUUACUACUGGGAGUGGAGAACGGGUGAGCAACGCGUGAGCAAUCUGCCUAUGUCAGUGGGAUAGCCUCGGGACCCCGGGAUUAAUACUGCAUAAAAUCGUGGAUACAAAAGUUUUAACGGUUAGGGAUGUACUGGCAUCGAAUGGGCUCGUGUCUGAUGUGCUGGUUGGUGAGAUAACAGCCCACCAAGGCGACGUUCAGUAGCAGGUCUGAUAAGAUGAACGGCCACAAUGGAACUGAGACACAGUCCAAACUCCGACGGAAGGGAGCAGUAUGUAAUAUAGCGCAAGGAAGCAAACCCUGAUGCAGCGACGCCGCGGAAACGAAGAAUGUAGUCGUAAAGUAAAGUCCUGUCCUAUGAGGAGAUAAUGACGGUACCAUAUAAGAAAGCACCGGCUAAAUACGUG